Molecule: long non-coding RNA, 436 nt
Organism: Dioscorea cayenensis subsp. rotundata (Guinea yam)
Lineage: Eukaryota; Viridiplantae; Streptophyta; Magnoliopsida; Dioscoreales; Dioscoreaceae
Exons: 2
Source: RefSeq, a predicted model, not a curated record
AAUCUAGAUAGGUCUAUGAAAAUAAAAAGCUACAAAAGCUUGUGAUCCAGGAACUUCAGGACUCGGGUGUAACGGGAGACAAGGCUCAGCUUCAGGAAAUGCUAAUGAACAAGAUAAAAUCAAGUUCUCAAUUUGUUAUUGAUGACAAGCGUAUUCGGUUGGUGGAGAGGACUGAGCAAUCAUGAAUUACGAUUAUAUUUUGAUCAUCUCUUGUUAUAGGUCUUUCCACAAGAUAUUGUUAACUCAAUUUUUCUUAUGCUCACUAAUUGUAAUUGGUUUGAUUUCAUUCAAACCAGUUUUGUAAUUCACAUGCCAUUCUUCCAUUUAUUUUUUGUAAGAGAUCACAACCACUUGUAUUGUUGGUUGAGGACCACAACUACAUGACAUUCUUCAGUUUUGUGAUGUAAUGAAUGCAAAACAUUUUUGCAUGUAUCAA